GUGUCAGCCGCCGCGGUAAGACGGAAGGUGCAAGCGUUGCUCGGAAUCACUGGGCGUAAAGGGUGCGUAGGCGGCUUGGUAAGUUGGGUGUGAAAGCCCCGGGCUCAGCCCGGGAAGGGCACUCGAAACUGCCGAGCUGGAGUGCCGGAGGGGAGAGUGGAAUUCCUGGUGUAGCGGUGAAAUGCGUAGAUAUCAGGAGGAAUACCGGUGGCGAAAGCGACUCUCUGGACGGCAACUGACGCUGAGGCACGAAAGCGUGGGGAGCAAACAGGAUUAGAAACCCUGGUAGUCC
Molecule: ribosomal RNA, 292 nt
Filed under: uncultured bacterium
Lineage: Bacteria
Description: partial 16S ribosomal RNA
Rfam family: Bacterial small subunit ribosomal RNA
Source: RNAcentral